AGCUAGACCAGAGGUAGUGAGUUAUCUCGAUUGAUUGUUCAGUCAGUUACAGAUUGAACUCCUCGUUCUACUCAUUGCUGUCUUCUCACUGCUGCACUUGACUAGUCUUAA
This is an unclassified non-coding RNA of Gorilla gorilla gorilla (western lowland gorilla), 111 nucleotides long. It matches the Rfam family "Y RNA". Rfam says of the family: Y RNAs are components of the Ro ribonucleoprotein particle (Ro RNP), in association with Ro60 and La proteins. The Y RNAs and Ro60 and La proteins are well conserved, but the function of the Ro RNP is not known. NCBI's taxonomy places the organism in Eukaryota, Metazoa, Chordata, Mammalia, Primates, Hominidae. The record is from Ensembl.